UGAGUACGAGAUGCUACGGCAUCGAAGCAGUCUAUGUCAUACUUCCAAGAAAAGCUUGCAAUGUCAUAAACAAAUAAUGCCUGUACCAUAACCGACACAGGUGGGUAGGUAGAGUAUACUAAGGGGCGCGAGAUAACUCUCUCUAAGGAACUCGGCAAAAUGACUCCGUAACUUCGGGAGAAGGAGUGCCUUAUUUUUAUAAGGUUGCAAUAACAAGAUCCAAGCAACUGUUUACCAAAAACACAGGUCUCCGCUAAGUCGUAAGACGAUGUAUGGGGGCUGACGCCUGCCCAGUGCCAGAAGGUUAAAGAAGUUGGUUAGCAUUAGCGAAGCUGAUAACUGAAGCCCUGGUGAACGGCGGCCGUAACAAUAACGGUCCUAAGGUAGCGAAAUUCCUUGUCGGGUAAGUUCCGACCCGCACGAAAGGCGUAAUGAUUUGGAUACUGUCUCGGAGAGGGGCUCGGUGAAAUAGACUUGUCUGUGAAGAUGCGGACUACCUGCACCUGGACAGAAAGACCCUAUGAAGCUUUACUGUAACUUGAGAUUGAAAUUGGACUUUAUCUGCGCAGUAUAGGUGGGAGACGUUGAAAAUAUUCUUGCGGGAAUAUUGGAGUCAUCAGUGAGAUACCGCUCUUAUAAUGUUAGAUUUCUAACUUUGUAUCAUUAUCUGGUCAAAGAACAGUUUCAGGCGGGCAGUUUGACUGGGGCGGUCGCCUCCCAAACGGUAACGGAGGCGCACAAAGGUUUCCUCUGAACGUGUAGAAAUCGUAUCUAGAGUGUAAAGGCAUAAGGAAGCUUGACUGUGAGACCUACAAGUCGAGCAGGGACGAAAGUCGGUCUUAGUGAUCUGACGGUGCUGAGUGGAAAGGCCGUCACUCAACGGAUAAAAGUUACUCUAGGAUAACAGGCUGAUCUCCCCCAAGAGUUCACAUCGACGGGGAGGUUUGGCACCUCGAUGUCGGCUCAUCGCAUCCUGGGGCGGUAGUACGUCCCAAGGGUUGGGCUGUUCGCCCAUGAAAGCGGUACGCGAGCUGGGUUCAGAACGUCGUGAGACAGUUCGGUCCAUAUCCGGUGUAGGCGUUAGAAUAUUGAGAGGAGCCUUCUUUAGUACGAGAGGACCGAGAAGGACAUACCUCUGGUGUACCAGUUAUCGUGCCAACGGUAAACGCUGGGUAGCCAUGUAUGGAGAGGAUAACCGCUGAAAGCAUCUAAGUGGGAAGCCCACCUC
RNAcentral lists this ribosomal RNA (1228 nucleotides) under metagenome. RNAcentral's name for it is "bacterial LSU rRNA". It matches the Rfam family "Bacterial large subunit ribosomal RNA", at positions 1564 to 2800 of the family's 2925-position model. The record is from RNAcentral.